Molecule: ribosomal RNA, 253 nt
Filed under: uncultured bacterium
Lineage: Bacteria
Description: partial 16S ribosomal RNA
Rfam family: Bacterial small subunit ribosomal RNA
Source: RNAcentral
UACGAAGGGGGCUAGCGUUGCUCGGAAUCACUGGGCGUAAAGCGCACGUAGGCGGAUUGUUAAGUCAGGGGUGAAAUCCUGGAGCUCAACUCCAGAACUGCCUUUGAUACUGGCGAUCUUGAGUCCGGGAGAGGUGAGUGGAACUGCGAGUGUAGAGGUGAAAUUCGUAGAUAUUCGCAAGAACACCAGUGGCGAAGGCGGCUCACUGGCCCGGUACUGACGCUGCGGUGCGAAAGCGUGGGGAGCAAACAGG